RNAcentral lists this ribosomal RNA (497 nucleotides) under uncultured bacterium. RNAcentral describes it as "partial 16S ribosomal RNA". It matches the Rfam family "Bacterial small subunit ribosomal RNA", at positions 28 to 507 of the family's 1533-position model. The record is from RNAcentral.
GAUGAACGCUGGCGGCGUGCCUAAUACAUGCAAGUCGAGCGAACAGACGAGGAGCUUGCUCCUCUGACGUUAGCGGCGGACGGGUGAGUAACACGUGGAUAACCUACCUAUAAGACUGGGAUAACUUCGGGAAACCGGAGCUAAUACCGGAUAAUAUAUUGAACCGCAUGGUUCAAUAGUGAAAGACGGUUUUGCUGUCACUUAUAGAUGGAUCCGCGCCGCAUUAGCUAGUUGGUAAGGUAACGGCUUACCAAGGCAACGAUGCGUAGCCGACCUGAGAGGAGGGUCGGCGCCACUGGAACUGAGACACGGUCCAGAGUCCUACGGGAGGGAGCAGUGGGGAAUAUGGGACAAUGGGCGAAAGCCUGAUACAGCCAUGCCGAGUGUGGGAAGAAGGUGUUCGGAUUGUGAAGCACUUUAAGUUGGGAGGAAGGGAAGUAAGUUAAUACCUUGCUGUUUUGACGUUACCAACAGAAUAAGCACCGGCUAACUUCGGG